UUGGGUUAAGUCCCGCAACGAGCGUAACCCUUAUUUUUAGUUGCCAUCAUUUAGUUGGGCACUUUAAAAAGACUGCCGGUGAUAAACCGGAGGAAGGUGAGGACGACGUCAAGUCAGCAUGCCCCUUACGCCCUGGGCUACACACGUACUACAAUGGUCGAGACAAAGAGUCGCAAGUCUGCGAAGGCAAGCUAAUCUCAUAAACUCGAUCUCAGUUCGGAUUGCAGGCUGCAACUCGCCUGCAUGAAGGUGGAAUCGCUAGUAACCGUGGAUCAGCAUGCCACGGUGA
RNAcentral lists this ribosomal RNA (289 nucleotides) under Hemiselmis tepida. RNAcentral describes it as "partial Bacterial small subunit ribosomal RNA". It matches the Rfam family "Bacterial small subunit ribosomal RNA", at positions 1075 to 1365 of the family's 1533-position model. Lineage: Eukaryota; Cryptophyceae; Cryptomonadales; Hemiselmidaceae. The record is from RNAcentral.